Molecule: transfer RNA, 72 nt
Filed under: Dehalococcoidales bacterium
Lineage: Bacteria; Bacillati; Chloroflexota; Dehalococcoidia; Dehalococcoidales
Description: tRNA-Ile
Rfam family: tRNA
About the family: Transfer RNA (tRNA) molecules are approximately 80 nucleotides in length. Their secondary structure includes four short double-helical elements and three loops (D, anti-codon, and T loops).
Source: RNAcentral
GGGCCCGUAGCUCAGCGGCAGAGCUGUCGGCUCAUAACCGAUCGGUCGCAGGUUCGAACCCUGCCGGGCCCA